RNAcentral lists this ribosomal RNA (1041 nucleotides) under Triticum aestivum (bread wheat). RNAcentral describes it as "partial small subunit ribosomal RNA". The record is from RNAcentral. Lineage: Eukaryota; Viridiplantae; Streptophyta; Magnoliopsida; Poales; Poaceae.
AUGGCGUACUCUUGUCUGCCCUUGUAUGCGCCUUCCUUUCUUGUAGUGCUUCUCGUUUUGCCUCUCAUGGCAGUGGCAUCCGCCGCCGCGCCCGCCGCCGAGACGUCCUACGAGACCAAGUCCUUGGACCCCGGCCUCGCCCUUAUGACGCUGCCGCAGCCGGUGUCCGGCCCGGAGAGCCUCGCCUUCGACCGCCGCGGCGGUGGGCCUUACGCCGGCGUCUCCGACGGCCGCGUCUUCAAGUGGCGCGGCCGCCGCCUCGGCUGGACCGAGUUCGCGUACAACUCCAGACACAAGAGCGUGGGGAUGUGCGCGGCGAAGAAGAAGCUGGUGGUGCCGGAGAGUGUUUGCGGCCGGCCGCUGGGGCUGCAGUUCCACCACAAGUCCGGCGACCUGUACGUCGCCGACGCAUACCUGGGGCUGAUGAGGGUGCCGGCGCGCGGUGGGCUGGCGCAGGUGGUGGCGACGGAAGCCGGCGGCGUGCCCUUCAACUUCCUCAACGGCCUGGACGUCGACCAGAAGACCGGCGACGUCUACUUCACGGACAGCAGCAGCACAUACCGAAGGAGCGAGUACCUACUGGUGGUGGCCCUGGGCGACGAGACAGGGCGGCUGCUCCGGUACAACCCGCGGACGCGCCGCGUCACCGUGCUCCACGCCGACCUGUCCUACCCGAACGGCGUGGCCGUCAGCGCGGACGGGUCGCACGUCGUGGUGUCGCACACGGCGUUGUCCGAGCUCCGCCGGUACUGGGUGCGCGGGCCCAAGGCCGGCACGAACGAGACGUUCGCGGAGCUGCCGGGGUUCCCGGACAACGUGCGCUCCGACGGGCGGGGCGGGUACUGGGUGGCGCUGACUCACGGUGGCGACGACGGCGUCGCCGCGCCGACGGUGGCCGUGAGGGUGGGCCGCGACGGCGCCGUGGAGGAGGCGCUGGGCGGGUUCAGUUUCGAGACGGUGAGCGAGGUAGGCGAGCGGAACGGCACGCUCUGGGUCGGCUCCGUCGACACGCCCUACGCCGGCGAACUCAAAAGAUACUAG